GGAUCUGAGGGUGAUCUGCCUGCGACAUCUGUCACCCCACUGAUCGCCAGGGUUGAUUCAGCUGAUCUGGUUGGCUAGGCGGGUGUCCACUUCCUCCCUCACUGCUCUAUUUGCAUCCCUCCUGAAGCUGUGCACUCGGUUGAAGGAAGAGGAUGGCCUUCCCCAAAUAGAGAGGACCGGUUGAGGGUAUACGAGUAGCUACACUCCCCUGCUAGAACAUCCAAACAAGCUCUCAAGAGUGAAUGAGAAGGAAGUAAAGAGGGAGGGGGGACAAAAUAGAAAUAACAGAACUAAGGAAGCUUAAACAUUUUCCAUGUCUAUCAACAUAUUUGUGCUUCUUCAU
RNAcentral lists this small nuclear RNA (343 nucleotides) under Erinaceus europaeus (western European hedgehog). Its description in RNAcentral is "7SK RNA". It matches the Rfam family "7SK RNA". Rfam says of the family: 7SK was discovered as an abundant small nuclear RNA in the mid-70s but a possible function has only recently been suggested. The record is from Rfam by way of RNAcentral. Lineage: Eukaryota; Metazoa; Chordata; Mammalia; Eulipotyphla; Erinaceidae.